This 406-nucleotide ribosomal RNA is filed under the name uncultured bacterium. RNAcentral describes it as "partial 16S ribosomal RNA". It matches the Rfam family "Bacterial small subunit ribosomal RNA", at positions 30 to 526 of the family's 1533-position model. The record is from RNAcentral.
AUUGAACGCUGGCGGCAGGCUUAACACAUGCAAGUCGAGCGAGCGGCGGACGGGUGAGUAAUGUCUGGGAAACUGCCUGAUGGAGGGGGAUAACUACUGGAAACGGUAGCUAAUACCGCAUACUAUCAGAUGUGCCCAGAUGGGAUUAGCUAGUAGGUGGGGUAAUGGCUCACCUAGGCGACGAUCCCUAGCUGGGCUGAGAGGAUGAGCAGCCCCACUGGAACGGAGACACGGUCCAGACUCCUACGGGAGGCAGCAGUGGGGAAUAUUGCUCGAUGGGCGCAAGCCUGAGACAGCCAUGCCGCGUGUGUGAAGAAGGCCUUCGGGUUGUAAAGCACUUUCAGCUAGGAGGCGUUACUCGCAGAAGAAGCACCGGCUAACUCCGUGCCAGCAGCCGCGGUAAUUC